Molecule: long non-coding RNA, 2376 nt
Filed under: Ananas comosus (pineapple)
Lineage: Eukaryota; Viridiplantae; Streptophyta; Magnoliopsida; Poales; Bromeliaceae
Description: long non-coding RNA (ACOM_LNC040334)
Source: RNAcentral
GUCACGACCCGCGACCACCCGCCAAUUUGGUCGGGUCGCGGCGCCGCCGACAGACCGCCGAACGGACAGAGUUUCCCCUGUACGUCCUAGGCGUCGCAAUCAAUACAAUUACAAGAGGUUCCAACCAGGAACAGUAUUUAACAUACAACGAUUGCAUAAGGAAGGUAUCAAAUAACAUAAACACAUCCUAAGUUAUUACAUUCAUUCAUUCAUCUCACUUGAUAUUAUUUACAUUUCUUUUCCUUUCAAAUACAUUUAGACUUCCGAAUACAAUCAAUCAUCACAAGAUUAUUACAAGUUUGAUUCUUUUUUCUUUUCUACAGCCCCUAGCUUGGCUGACUCGGGUACCGCUACCUCUGGUCUCGGUGGUAGGGCGCUAUCUACGGAGCUACGCCCUCGCCUCGCGCCGCCGCGCCGCUCACGUGCAAACCUGUAACACCCCAAAGCAACGUGGGGUGAGAACCAACUCCAUGGUUCCCAGUGGGUACGGCCACCCAAGGGAAAAGCUCGACCGACAGGUCCGAAGGAGGCAACUGCAGGUUAGUUCAAUAAACAGAUAGAUAUGAUAAUAAGAUUAUGCAACUAACAAUACCAUGCAUUGCCUCGUGAUAUGCAAUAUGAAGAUCAUGCAAUAAUGCAACUAUACAACCAACUAGUAGUUCAAUCGAUUACUACUUUCAUCCAAUUAGCAUUUAAGGUUUUCUGUCCUUUACCACUUUUGUCAUAAAGUUUCAUCUACCUUUACAAAACUAACCGCCCGACUCGGUUUUGAGUCAAUCGUCUACGGAGUACCGCGCAAGCCAGGCUCGAGGCGAAGGACGUCUCACUCGCACCUCAGCCUAAUGUCCACUCUACUAGGACUCGACUACCGCUCAUGCCUAAUUUGCAUAAUUCUCGUGAGUACAUUACCCAAUCUACUGACGAGCCAUCUCGAUUCGUAGGGAGCCGUCAUCGGGACCCCACAUAGGCUAUCCCUCGUGACUCAAACUACGAAUCCGAGACCGUCUGCGGGACCCCACAUAGGCUAUCCCUCGGGACCCCAAAUAGGCUAUCCCUAUCCCACGGGACCCCAAAUAGGCUAUCCCACGUGACCAACUCCGGAGCGCACUACUUGUGUGGAGCGACCAUCACAAGCUAGGAACAGACAAUGAGUAUGAUCAAUUCUGUGUCCACGAGAAUAUCUUGUCACUAGGUGUCACGCCCCGAGACCGCUACCAAUUUGGUGCGGUUCGAGCGCGUCGAACAGACGCCGAACGGACAGAGUCUCCCCUGUCCGCCCAAGGCUAAGCAAACGAUCAUGUACAAGGAUUUACCCAGGAAUCAAAUCAUAAGUACACAAUCACAAGAGCACAACAAGUGCUAACAAGUAAGAGCAAGGCACAAGUAUAAAGAAUACAAGUAACGAUAAAGAGAGAAGGUCUAUCUAUUACAUUCAUUCAACCUCUUUAAUACAUCGAUUUACAUUUAAACUGCCAAAUACAACAUGAGUUUACAUUUCCAAAAUGAUUCCUCACACCCUAUACAUCAUCUACUCUCAAGUACAAAAGGGUGGCUCUAAUGCAAAGGAAAGUAAACUAAUGCAUCUAGGGCGCUAAGCCCUUACCACGAUCCUCGCCGUGUGAACUCGCGCUCGGCCCUGUAGUAAAAUGGGGGGUGUGAGAACUAACUUCCUUAGUUCCCAGUGGGUUCGGCCGCCGACUCCGCCGGUCUCCCCACUAGGUCCAAGUGGGCACAAGUAGAUAAACAGAUAGAUAGAUAUGGAAAGCUGUAAGGACAGAAUAGAAAACUACGCUACUAUGCCCGAAUCAUAAAUAUAUGAAUGCAUGUUCAAUGAAAUGGGUAAGCAACUAACUCGUCAUCAUGUCCAAGAAGUAAAGAUAUUUACUUGUUCAUUAAUCUUAUGGCUCACCCGAGGGUUCACCUACUACUCACAUAGCCAUCUCGAUGCGUAGGGAGACUCAACUCAAACUACGAAUCCGAGACCGUCUGCGGGACCCCACAUAGGCUAUCCCUCGGGACCCCAAAUAGGCUAUCCCACGUGACCAACUCCGGAGCGCACUACUUGUGUGGAGCGAAGCGACCAUCACAAGGUAUAAAAGCGACCGUGAGCAAGAUCCAAUCCUCUCCACUCGAGGAUCCCUAUCUCUAGGGUUACUUUCAUCACAAGGUCCAUAGGUUUCAUAUACACUAGGACUCACAUAGAUGCCACUCGUCUUUUGUUUACUAUCAACUAGAUGCCACUCAUUCUUUUGUUUAUUAUCAACUAGAUGCCACUCAUUCUUUUGUUUACUAUCAACUAGAUGCCACUAGUUCUUUGUUUUACUAUUAAACCAACCAUUGAGUCCCAUCUUUCACCUCGGCACUAUAGGAUUCACA